AUACGUAGGGGACGAGCGUUGUCCGGAAUUACUGGGCGUAAAGCGCACGCAGGCUGACUUAUAAGUCGGUAGUCUAAUGCGGAGGCUCAACUUCCGUUUAUCUAUCGAUACUGUAAGACUAGAGUAUGUGAGAGGGAAGUGGAAUUCCCGGUGUAGCGGUGAUAUGCGUAGAUAUCGGAGGAACACCAGUGGCGAAGGCGACUUACUGGGCCGUAACUGACGCUGAGGCGCGAAAGCGUGGGGAGCGAACAGGAUUAGAUACCCUGGUAGGCCGCACAGUAAACGAUGGACACCCGCGGUUUGGCCUAUAUGGCUGAGCCGCCAAGCGAAAGCGUUAAGUGUCCCACCUGGGGAGUACGCCGGCAACGGUGAAACUCAAAGGAAUUGACGGGG
This 393-nucleotide ribosomal RNA is filed under the name uncultured bacterium. RNAcentral's name for it is "partial 16S ribosomal RNA". It matches the Rfam family "Bacterial small subunit ribosomal RNA", at positions 523 to 918 of the family's 1533-position model. The record is from RNAcentral.